Molecule: ribosomal RNA, 253 nt
Filed under: uncultured bacterium
Lineage: Bacteria
Description: partial 16S ribosomal RNA
Rfam family: Bacterial small subunit ribosomal RNA
Source: RNAcentral
UAAUCAACCUGCCCUUCAGAGGGGGACAACAGUUGGAAACGACUGCUAAUACCGCAUACGAUCCAACCUCGGCAUCGAGGAUGGAUGAAAGGUGGCCUCUAUUUAUAAGCUAUCACUGAAGGAGGGGAUUGCGUCUGAUUAGCUAGUUGGAGGGGUAACGGCCCACCAAGGCAAUGAUCAGUAGCCGGUCUGAGAGGAUGAACGGCCACAUUGGGACUGAGACACGGCCCAAACUCCUACGGGAGGCAGCAUG